CGGGGUUGGAAAUGGGGUUGGGGGUCCCAAAUUGGGGUUUGGGGGGGCUCAGAUUCACGGUCGGUGUGGCCUUGGACUGGGACCGAGAGCCUGGAUGGGCCCGGGGAGACUCGAAAUGGGGCGGGAGAAGCUCGGGGUUGAAAUUGGGGUCUGGGGGGUCCCAAAUUGGGGUCUGGGGGUCUCCAAUCCAUGGCCGCGGUGGUGUCGGGCCGGGAGCGCUCCAGAUGGGCGGGAGGAGCUGGAGGUGGAGCUGGGGCCGGGCAGGAGGACAGGAAAUAAACGAUACAAAUUACAGGAAUGUCCUGGCCGUCAUUCCCAAAAAUCCUGGGAAUGGAAUGGUGAUGGGAGCAUCACCCAGGGAUGGUGCCAGCUCUUCCCCUUAAUUAACUAAUUAGUAACGCUCCUGGUUAAUUGGGUGAGCUCAGCAGAGGUGAAUCAGCUCCUUUUUGUGGGAGCAGCCAGUGGGUGAUGUUCAGGGAAAGAAUUCCUGCAAAAUCCCUGUGGCACUGCUGGGGGCCAAAUCCUCAUCUCCCUGCUGCUGAGCCAGCCUUGCUGGGCAUGGAAUUCCAGGAUUUGGGGCCAAAAAUCCAAUUAUUCCUGAAAAAAAGAGUGUGGAUAAUGCAGGAGUCUCCGUAGGGAAAGACUGGUGAGGGAACAAAUUGUGAGGGAACAUCUGGGAAGAAGCUGGAGGAAUUUCUUGUGGAAUCCCUCAGGUGUCUCCUGGAUGAAGGAUUGGGACAUUCCCAUGUUCCCAACCUGUUCCUGAAUUUCCAAAGGAUUCAGAAGGAAUUUGAGUUUUUUUCUUUUGUUUUCCCACCAAUCCUUCCCUUUCCAUGGAUUAGCUGCCAAGAGUUGCUGUGGAUGGAAUUCUGGGAUUUUGGGGCAGAUGUGGCCAAAAAUCUGAUUUUUUUUCCUUAAAAAAGGAUGUGGAUAAUGGAAGAGUCCAGAUCUAAUCUGGGAAUAAAUAGUGGGGAACCUUUUGGGAAGAAGCUGGAGGAAUUUCUUGUGGAAUCCCUCAGGUGUCUCCUGGAUGAAGGAUUGGGACAUUCCCAUGUUCCCAAACCUGGGACAUUCCCAAGUUCCCAAACCUGGGACAUUCCCAAGUUCCCAAACCUGUUCCUGAAUUUCCAAAGGAUUCAGAAGCAAUUUGAUUUUUCUGUUGUUUUAUUUUCCUGCCAAUCCCAGUUUUUCCAUGGAUUAGCUGCCAGAUGUUAAAUCCACAUCUCCCUGCUGCUGAUCCAGGCCUUGCUGGGCAUGGAAUUCCAGGAUUUGGGGCAGUUUGGGGACAAAAAUCCAAUUAUUCCUUAAAAAAAGAGUGUGGAUAAUGGAAAAGUCCCCACAGGGAAAGAUUGAUCUGGGAACAAAUUGUGAUGGAACAUUUGGGAAGAAGCUGAAGGAAUUUCUUGUGGAAUCCCUCAGGUGUCUCCAGGAUGAAGGAUUUGGACAUUCCCAAGUUCCCAAACCUGGGACAUUCCCACCUUCCCAAACCUGUUCCUGAAUUUCCAAAGGAUUCAGAAGCAAUUUGAUUAUUUUUUAAUUUUAAUUUCCCACCCAUCCCAGUUUUUCCAUGGAUAUCAAAUCCACAUCUCCCUUUUAAGGAAUCCCAGGGGUUGCUGUGGUUGGAAUUCCAGGAUUUUGGGGCAGAUGUGGCCAAAAAUCCAAUUAUUCCCUAAGAAAGAGUGUGGGUAAUGGGAGAGUCCAGAUCUGAUCUGGGAUCAAAUGGUGGGGAAUGUUUUGGGAAGCAAUGGAAUUUCCUGUGGAAUAUUUGGGAUGGUGGAAGCUGGAGCCGGAUGAUCCCUGAGAUCCCUCCCCAAACCAUUCAAAGGAUUUAAAUCUCAACUGGAGUUUUCCUUGGAAUGAAAACAGGGUUUAAUUCUCAGCUGGAUUUUUCCUUGGGGAAAAAAAAGGAUUUCAUUCCCAACUGGAUUUUCCUUGGAAAAAAAAAGGGAUUUUAAUCCCAGCUGGAUUUUUCCUUGGAAUUAAAAAAGGAUUCAAUUCCUGACUGGAUUUUAACUUGGGAAAAUAAAAAAAAAGGCAUUUCAUUCCCAAUUGGAUUUUUUCUUGGGUGAAAAAAAGGGAUUCCAUUCCCAGCUGGAUUUUCCUGGGAUUUAAAGCAGGGUUUCAUUCCCAGCUGGAUUUCCCUUGGGAUUUAAAGCAGGGUUUCAUUCCCAGCUGGAUUUCCCUGGGAUUUAAAGCAGGGUUUCAUUCCCAGCUGGAUUUCCCUGGGAUUUAAAGCAGGGUUUCAUUCCCAGCUGGAUUUCCCUUGGGAUUUAAAGCAGGGUUUCAUUCCCAGCUGGAUUUCCCUUGGGAUUUAAAGCAGGGUUUCAUUCCCAGCUGGAUUUCCUGGGAUUUAAAGCAGGGUUUCAUUCCCAGCUGGAUUUUCCCUGGGAUUUAAAGCAGGGUUUCAUUCCCAGCUGGAUUUUCCCUGGGAUUUAAAGCAGGGUUUCAUUCCCAGCUGGAUUUCCCUGGGAUUUUCCCAUGGAUUUUCCAGCAGGAGCCGAGGGUGACUCAGGGCUCCCAGGGGCUGGGACAAACCCCAGGACAAACCCCGGAAUUCCAGCGCUGCCAGGCCUGGCUCUGUCCCUCCCUCUGGAGCAAUCCUGGAUUUCAGAAGGAAUUCUCUUUUUGGGAACAGCCUCUGCUCUCUUCUCCUUCAGCUUCCAAGUUUUUUUUUUUAACUUGGAAUAGAAAAAGAAUCCUGAGGGGGAAAAAUUCCUCCCUGUUGGGGGAAAUGCUCCUGGAGAAUUCCAUGGAUCCAAAUCCAGGGUCUCCUGCUGGACUGGAGAGCGUUUCCCUGGGAGAGGAGGCCGGGAAGGGCGAGCUGAUGAACGAGGACAUCCGGAUCCAUUCCUGGCCUUGCUCCUACUACCUGGACACCAGCAAGCAAUGGAUCCCCGGGAAGCUCUCCCUGACUCCCACUUCCAUCAGGUUCACGGCUGACAAAUCGGGAGAGCUCCUGGUGGAUUUCCGUCUGUCCGGGAUCAGCCAGAUCAAGAAGGAAUCUUCCCAUUUGAUCUUCAGCUCCCUCACCGUCCUGGAGAAGGGCACCAAGCACUGGUUCAGCUCCCUGCAUCCCAACAGGAAUGUGGUGUUCAACAUCCUGGAGCAUUUCUGGAGGGAGCAGCUGGUGUCCGGCCAGGAGGGCGGAGCGGGAGCGGCCUUGGAGUCCAGCAAGGGCAAGGAAUUGACGGGAAUGCUGGAGGGAUCCCAGAAACGCCUGGAGGACACGGCCAAGGUGCUGCAUUCCCAAGGGGAACAGUUCGACAACAUCAUGAGGGGACUCCACAAGAUCGAGGGGGACAUGGAUGUGGCCGACAGGUUCGGAAUGGGAACGUUCCCGGAGCUGGGAAAGGCUGUUGACAGAGCUGGAAUCUCCCUCCUGGUGGCCCUUCAGCACCAAACUCUGGAAAACUCCCGUGGAGGCGAAGCCCAAGGAAAGCCCCGCGGCUCCGGACGCCGGAAGCCAGGAGGGAAUUCUGCUGCGGAUCCCGGUGAUCAUCACCCACAGGACAGAUUCCAGCGCCAAACCCGGCAAGCUCACGGUGCUUCCCUCGGGCCUGGAGAUCAAGGAUUGCAAUUCCCAGCUCCUGCACCGCUUCGAGGCGCGGGAGGUGGACGACAUCUGGGUGCACAGUCCCUACGAGAUCAGCGUCCGGCAGAGGUUCAUCGGCAAACCCGACACCUCCUUCCGCCUCCUGGCCGCCCGCAUGCCCGAGGCCAUCCCCAUCCUCCAGAUGCACUUCAGCAGGAAAAUCCAGUUCCUGGAGGAUGCCCUGGGAUUUGCUGGAGCCAGGAAGUCUCCUCAGGCGGAUCUGGGGACGUCCAUCUGGCAGGCAGCCACGGGGUUCCUGGGAGCCGCGGUGAGUCCGGGAUCGCCGGCGGGGAGCGCCGAGGGCACGGACAGGGAGCAGGUGCAGCUGCAGAAAAUAUCCCAGGAGGAAGCCAAGGAGCUGCGACAGAUCCUGAGGAAGCUGAAGGGCCUGGCCCUGGAGACGGAGGCGGAGCUGGAGCGGCAGGACGAGGCCCUGGACUCCAUCGGCAGCUCCGUGGAUCGCGCCACGCUCACCAUCGACCGGCACAACCGCAGGAUCAGGAAGCUGACGUAGCUUCCCGCCGGGAACGGCGCCGCCACGGAGAGCGGGAAGCCGGGAUGGUCGGGACCGGUUCUUCCAGAGACACUUUGGGAGGGGUUUGGGAUCAGGUUUGGAAAAUGGCGCUGCUGGCGGUGAGUUCCUGAGAGGAUUGGAGCGGUUCCUGGAUCUUGGAUGAUGGUUGGAUCUUGGAUGAUGGUUGGAUCUUGGACGAGGGCUGGAUCUUGGAUGAUGGUUGGAUCUUGGAUGAUGGUUGGAUCUUGGACAGUGUUUGGAUUUUGGAUGAUGGUUGGAUCUUGGAUGAGGUUUGGAUCGUGGACAGUGUUUGGAUUUUGGGUCACAGCUGGACCUUGGAUCAUGGCUGGACCUUGGAUGAGGUUUGGAUCUUGGACAGUGUUUGGAUGUUGAAUGAUGGUUGGAUCUUGGAUAAUGAUUGGAUCUUGGAUGGUUGGAUCUUAGAUGAGGGUUGGACCUUGGAUCACGUUUGGAUCUUGGAUUUUGGUUGGAUCUUGGAUCACAGAUGGUUGGAUCUUGGAUCACACA
RNA transcript from Serinus canaria (Common canary), 4634 nucleotides. It is a transcript of the gene named synaptosome associated protein 47, with no coding region annotated. The record is from RefSeq and is a predicted model, not a curated record. Lineage: Eukaryota; Metazoa; Chordata; Aves; Passeriformes; Fringillidae. The transcript has 6 exons.